UGGGAAGUGUGUGGCAGUAGUCGAGGUAGUAGUUAGUUCGCGAGUGUUUGCCGGAUUUAUUGGGCGUAAAGCGUGCGCAGUGUGUUAGAUAAGUCUGAAGUUAAAGGCUGUGGCUUAACCAUAGUACGCUGUGGAAACUGUUUAAGUUGAGUGCAGAAGGGGAGAGUGGAAUUCCAUGUGUAGCGGUGAAAUGCGUAGAUAUAUGGAGGAACACCGGUGGCGAAAGCGGCUCUCUGGUCUGUAACUGACGCUGAGGCUCGAAAGCGUGGGGAGCGAACAGGAUUAGAUACCCGAGUAGUC
This 300-nucleotide ribosomal RNA is filed under the name uncultured Asaccharobacter sp. Its description in RNAcentral is "partial 16S ribosomal RNA". It matches the Rfam family "Bacterial small subunit ribosomal RNA", at positions 495 to 795 of the family's 1533-position model. The record is from RNAcentral. Lineage: Bacteria; Bacillati; Actinomycetota; Coriobacteriia; Eggerthellales; Eggerthellaceae.